Molecule: ribosomal RNA, 439 nt
Filed under: uncultured bacterium
Lineage: Bacteria
Description: partial 16S ribosomal RNA
Rfam family: Bacterial small subunit ribosomal RNA
Source: RNAcentral
CCUACGGGAGGCAGCAGUAGGGAAUUUUGCGCAAUGGGCGAAAGCCUGACGCAGCAACGCCGCGUGAUCGAGACGCCCUUCGGGGUGUAAAGAUCUGUCAGUGGGGACGAAACUUGACGGUACCCACAGAGGAAGCACCGUCUAACUCCGUGCCAGCAGCCGCGGUAAUACGGGGGGUGCAAGCGUUGUCCGGAGUCAUUGGGCGUAAAGAGUUCGUAGGCGGCACGUAAGGUCUGGUGUAAAAGGCAGAGGCUAAACUUCUGUACGGAAGUGGAUACUUGCGAGCUAGAAUGCGUUAGAGGUAAAGGGAAUUCCGGGUGUGGCGGUGAAAUGCUUAGAUAUCAGGAGGAACACCGGUGGCGAAGGCGUUUUCUGGGCCGGAAUUGACGCUGAGGAACGAAAGCCAGGGUAGCAAAUGGGAUUAGAUACCCCUGUAGUC